UACGAAGGGGGCUAGCGUUGCUCGGAAUCACUGGGCGUAAAGGGUGCGUAGGCGGGUCUUUAAGUCAGGGGUGAAAUCCUGGAGCUCAACUCCAGAACUGCCUUUGAUACUGAGGAUCUUGAGUUCGGGAGAGGUGAGUGGAACUGCGAGUGUAGAGGUGAAGUUCGUAGAUAUUCGCAAGAACACCAGUGGCGAAGGCGGCUCACUGGCCCGGUACUGACGCUGAGGCACGAAAGCGUGGGGAGCAAACAGG
RNAcentral lists this ribosomal RNA (253 nucleotides) under uncultured bacterium. RNAcentral's name for it is "partial 16S ribosomal RNA". It matches the Rfam family "Bacterial small subunit ribosomal RNA", at positions 524 to 776 of the family's 1533-position model. The record is from RNAcentral.